GUACUUCAGCAAGAGCACUGGCCCCUGCACGCUGAAGAGAUGACCCCCACCCUACCCCACAGGCCAGAGUGAACUGAUCCUACAGGCAUACAUGUAGGGGAGCUGACUCAACCCCUUCGACUGAGCUAGGACCUGCUGGAGCCCGUGAAGAGACUGGUCCUGUGGAACAAUACCCGCAAGAUCUCUAAGACUCGUGGCAGCCACAGGAUAUCCCAGGGGAGCUCCAGUGAGGAUCCAGGGAUGAUGGUGUGCCAGACACCAGAGGCCUUGAACCAGACCACUGACUCAUUGCAAUAAACAUUCGCUAGUAAAGCUGAUGGGACAGAGAGGUA
This is a non-coding RNA of Myodes glareolus (Bank vole), 332 nucleotides long. NCBI's taxonomy places the organism in Eukaryota, Metazoa, Chordata, Mammalia, Rodentia, Cricetidae. The record is from RefSeq and is a predicted model, not a curated record.